Molecule: ribosomal RNA, 460 nt
Filed under: uncultured bacterium
Lineage: Bacteria
Description: partial 16S ribosomal RNA
Rfam family: Bacterial small subunit ribosomal RNA
Source: RNAcentral
CCUACGGGAGGCAGCAGUGAGGAAUAUUUGUCAAUGGACGAGAGUCUGAACCAGCCAAGUAGCGUGAAGGAUGACUGCCCUAUGGGUUGUAAACUUCUUUUAUAUGGGAAUAAAAUGUUCCACGUGUGGGCUUUUGUAUGUACCAUAUGAAUAAGGAUCGGCUAACUCCGUGCCAGCAGCCGCGGUAAUACGGAGGAUCCGAGCGUUAUCCGGAUUUAUUGGGUUUAAAGGGAGCGUAGGUGGAUUGUUAAGUCAGUUGUGAAAGUUUGCGGCUCAACCGUAAAAUUGCAGUUGAAACUGGCAGUCUUGAGUACAGUAGAGGUGGGCGGAAUUCGUGGUGUAGCGGUGAAAUGCUUAGAUAUCACGAAGAACUCCGAUUGCGAAGGCAGCUCACUGGACUGCAACUGACACUGAGGCUCGAAAGUGUGGGUAUCAAACAGGAUUAGAUACCCUAGUAGUC